RNAcentral lists this ribosomal RNA (249 nucleotides) under uncultured Actinomycetales bacterium. RNAcentral describes it as "partial 16S ribosomal RNA". It matches the Rfam family "Bacterial small subunit ribosomal RNA", at positions 84 to 334 of the family's 1533-position model. The record is from RNAcentral. Lineage: Bacteria; Bacillati; Actinomycetota; Actinomycetes; Actinomycetales.
GGGGUGCUCGAGUGGCGAACGGGUGAGUAACACGUGAGUAACCUGCCCUUGACUUAGGGAUAACUUAGGGAAACUGGGGCUAAUACCGGAUAGGAGCUCCUGCUGCAUGGUGGGGGUUGGAAAGUUUCGGCGGUUGGGGAUGGACUCGCGGCUUAUCAGCUUGUUGGUGGGGUAGUGGCUUACCAAGGCUUUGACGGGUAGCCGGCCUGAGAGGGUGACCGGCCACAUUGGGACUGAGAUACGGCCCAG